AGUGGGUGAAGCAUUAGCUUGGGAGCACUCCGAAGCCACAGCUGGGUCACCGUUUUACGGUUGCCUUGCCGGGUUUACAGGCUGUGGUGCAUAAGAACCCCUCACGAGUACUCCCCUGAAGACUAGGGAGGAGUAAGCUAGGUUGGGUUUUGGUG
Molecule: long non-coding RNA, 155 nt
Organism: Thalassophryne amazonica
Lineage: Eukaryota; Metazoa; Chordata; Actinopteri; Batrachoidiformes; Batrachoididae
Exons: 3
Source: RefSeq, a predicted model, not a curated record